RNAcentral lists this unclassified non-coding RNA (253 nucleotides) under uncultured Bacteroidia bacterium. RNAcentral's name for it is "contains 16S-23S intergenic spacer region". It matches the Rfam family "Bacterial small subunit ribosomal RNA", at positions 524 to 776 of the family's 1533-position model. Lineage: Bacteria; Pseudomonadati; Bacteroidota; Bacteroidia. The record is from RNAcentral.
UACGGAGGGUGCAAGCGUUGUCCGGAAUCAUUGGGUUUAAAGGGUACGUAGGUGGAAAGGUAAGUCAGUGGUGAAAUCCCCCGACUCAAUCGGGGAACUGCCAUUGAUACUGCCAUUCUUGAGUUCAGUUGAGGUAAGCGGAAUGUGGCAUGUAGCGGUGAAAUGCAUAGAUAUGCCGCAGAACACCGAUUGCGAAGGCAGCUUACUAAGCUGAAACUGACGCUAAUGUACGAAAGCGUGGGGAGCAAACAGG